GAUGAACGCUGGCGGCGUGCCUAAUACAUGCAAGUCGAGCGAACGGACGAGAAGCGUUUUCUUCUGAUGUUAGCGGCGGACGGGCGAGUAACUCGUGGAUAACCUAUCUAUAAGACUGGGAUAACUUCGGGAAACCGGAGUUAACACCGGACAAUAUCUUUAACCGCAUGGCUCAAAAGUGAAAGACGGUCUUGCGGUCACUUAUAGAUGGACCUGCGCUGCAUUAGCUAGUUGGUAAGGUAACGGCUUACCAAAGCAACGAUGCUUAGCCGACCUGAGAGGGUGAUCGGCCACACUGGAACUGAGACACGGUCCAGACUCCUACAGGAGGCAGCAGUAGAGAAUCUUCCGCGAUGGGCGAAAGCCUGACGGUGCAACGCCGCGUAAGUGAUGAAGGUCUACGGAUCGUAAAACUCUGUUAGUAGGGGAAAACAUAUGUGUAAGUAACUAUGCACAUCUUGACGGUACCUAAUCAGAAAGCCACGGCUAACUACGUG
RNAcentral lists this ribosomal RNA (497 nucleotides) under uncultured bacterium. Its description in RNAcentral is "partial 16S ribosomal RNA". It matches the Rfam family "Bacterial small subunit ribosomal RNA", at positions 28 to 507 of the family's 1533-position model. The record is from RNAcentral.